Molecule: long non-coding RNA, 1053 nt
Organism: Apteryx owenii (little spotted kiwi)
Lineage: Eukaryota; Metazoa; Chordata; Aves; Apterygiformes; Apterygidae
Source: Ensembl
ACGCAAGAAACAGGUUGAUGCUUCAGGUAGUAGAGUGCUUCUGAACUGAGCCAGCGCCCAGGAGGUUUCGAUGUUGGGGAGUUCUGUUCUGAGGAUUUGGGGUGAGCUUGAAUUUGGCUCUGUUACUUCUGGAUUACUUGCAAUGAAGUGAACAGAAUACUCUCUGAGGUCCUUUAGUGUCAGCAUAGAGAAGCAGGAAGUUUGUGGGGACUGUGGAUUUUUGCUAGUUUGCUCUAUAGUAAGAGGGAAGCUCUUUCACUGGUGUUAUAAAUUGCUGUUUUCACUAGUGUUGAAUAAAUAACAAGUUCUUUUUUUUUUUCCAGGAGAGAGAUGCUAUUUUAGAAGUCUUUCUAAUGUUUUUCUGUAUGCUGUAAUGGCAACACUUGCUGUUUGGUAAUAAUUUGCAUCAGGUUCCCAGUGGAAAAUGUUGAGUUGUCAGAGUGAACCUUCUGGCCCUGAGCUAUACAUUUUAUCAGUGUUGUGGUGUACUCCAGCAUUGGUGUGAGAAUACUGAGUAAAGCACUUAGUGUGCCUUUUCCAGCUGAGUGAACUAGCUCCAAGGAGCAAUACCAUACUUUUUGCAGUAAGAAUACCAAACAAGGAAUGCUGCAAUUGAUCCUAGGCAGUAGAAAGUACUUGGAUAUUAAACAAGAAAUAAAUAGUUAUCUUUAUGAGGUGAUGGGCACGUUAUUUGUGGAGGAAAAGCAAAUAAACGUGACAGAUUCUGUUCUCCUACUGAAUUAUACCUCUGUGCAAGGAAAGAGGAGUUGUCAUGUCACUCCCACAAUGGAUCUUAAAAUCAGUUUUCAAAAUAUUUCUCUUACGGUGAGUGAAAUGAAAUGCUUCAGGGAAAAAGGCAAGCUACUUUCACAAAGCUCAUUGAGCAAAUUUGCCUCUCUUUCUAUUGAGAUCUCUACUGCUUGUUUCAUUGUUAGAGCUUCUAACAAACUGGAGGAGCUGUAUUUAAGCAUUCUGCCACAGGUUUGGAGGCUGCUUGUUUGUCUGGAGACAAAGUUGGAUUCACUGGUUGCUCACCGCUGCCAGUCAUACUGA